AUUGAACGCUGGCGGCAUGCCUUACACAUGCCAGUCGAACGGCAGCAUGAUCUAGCUUGCUAGAUUGAUGGCGAGUGGCGAACGGGUGAGUAAUACAUCGGAACGUGCCCUGUAGUGGGGGAUAACUAGUCGAAAGAUUAGCUAAUACCGCAUACGACCUGAGGGUGAAAGUGGGGGACCGCAAGGCCUCAUGCUAUAGGAGCGGCCGAUGUCUGAUUAGCUAGUUGGUGAGGUAAAGGCUCGCCAAGGCGACGAUCAGUAGCUGGUCUGAGAGGACGAUCAGCCACACUGGGACUGAGACACGGCCCAGACUCCUACGGGAGGCAGCAGUGGGGAAUUUUGGACAAUGGGCGAAAGCCUGAUCCAGCAAUGCCGCGUGUGUGAAGAAGGCCUUCGGGUUGUAAAGCACUUUUGUCCGGAAAGAAAUGGCUCUGGUUAAUACCUGGGGUCGAUGACGGUACCGGAAGAAUAAGGACCGGCUAACUACGUG
Molecule: ribosomal RNA, 490 nt
Filed under: uncultured bacterium
Lineage: Bacteria
Description: partial 16S ribosomal RNA
Rfam family: Bacterial small subunit ribosomal RNA
Source: RNAcentral